Picea glauca (white spruce) is the source of this 123-nucleotide non-coding RNA. Lineage: Eukaryota; Viridiplantae; Streptophyta; Pinopsida; Pinales; Pinaceae. The record is from Rfam.
UUAUAUGUACAUGCCUACAAAGUUAAUGCAUCGGAUCCCAUUAUAAAUCCAUAGUUAAGAGCACUUGGACUAGAUUAGUACUAGGAUGAGUGACCUAGUGUUUAGAACUAGAAUUCUUAGUGU